This 352-nucleotide unclassified non-coding RNA is filed under the name soil metagenome. RNAcentral describes it as "partial contains 5.8S ribosomal RNA, internal transcribed spacer 2, and large subunit ribosomal RNA". The stretch from base 1 to 120 matches the Rfam family "5.8S ribosomal RNA", at positions 35 to 154 of the family's 154-position model. The record is from RNAcentral.
GAUGAAGAACGUAGCGAAAUGCGAUAAGUAAUGUGAAUUGCAGAAUUCAGUGAAUCAUCGAAUCUUUGAACGCACAUUGCGCCCGCCAGCAUUCUGGCGGGCAUGCCUGUUCGAGCGUCAUUACAACCCUCAGGCCCCCGGGCCUGGCGUUGGGGAUCGGCGGAGCCCCCCGUGGGCACACGCCGUCCCCCAAAUGCAGUGGCGGUCCCGCCGCAGCUUCCAUCGCGUAGUAGCUAACACCUCGCGACUGGAGAGCGGCGCGGCCACGCCGUAAAACACCCAACUCUUCUGAAGUUGACCUCGAAUCAGGUAGGAAUACCCGCUGAACUUAAGCAUAUCAAUAAGCGGAGGA